Nicotiana tabacum (common tobacco) is the source of this 1460-nucleotide non-coding RNA. NCBI's taxonomy places the organism in Eukaryota, Viridiplantae, Streptophyta, Magnoliopsida, Solanales, Solanaceae. The record is from RefSeq and is a predicted model, not a curated record.
CUCAAAUCUCGAAAGAAAAUGUUUUAUACUCCAUAUGAUAGCUUGCUCCAGUCCCGUAGGAAACUUUUGUACACUUCUAUGCUUCUAGCAUUCCGAUGGCAUCCUCAAAUGAUACAAGUCUGCGAUAAAAAUCUGCCUUGCCCUUGUUACCCGUAGCUUAAAAACAACUUUGUCCGCCUAAACAGGUACGAUGGACAGCUGCAGCGUUCCCCUAUUCUCAAGAAAUGGUCUCACCGCCACAAAUCAUUGUCGCUCUUCUCCGAAAUUCUCCCUUUCACGACUUCUCCAAUUUAUAGCACUGAAUCAUCGGUAAUUGAGGCAACUGGUGCUAACUACUAUUCUGUUCAGUUCUACUUUUGUCGGUGCUUGUCAUUUAUAAAAAGGGCAGCACGGUGCACUAAGUCCCGCUAUGCGCGGGGUUCGGGGAAGGACCGGACCACAAGGGUCUACCAUGUGGAGUGUUACCCUGCAUUUCUACAAGAGGUUGUUUCCACAGCUCGAACUCAUGACCUCCUAGUCACAUGCAACAAGAGCAGCAGUAGCAGUACAGGGGAUUGGUUUAGCAGAAGAGCAGGCAGAAGAUGCUGAAGCUACAAAGUGAGUGCCCAUGGUCUAGAUUUUCUUUCCCAAAAAUCCCUUAUGCUGCUGCAGUUAUUUACUGAUCUCAAAUAUUGGAAUUAAGAAUGAAGCUUAAGAAGAUUAAAGUUGAAAGCACAGGAAUUUGGUAGUGGGUUUAUCUCAUCUUUAAUGGAGAAGUUUAUGACUAAUCAACAAAGAUUUCCAGUAUUGAUUAACAAUGAAUUUUGAUUACUUUAGUGAGCCAUUUUUGUUAGUGGUGCGAUUCAUGUCUUCAGUCUUCUUGUUCAUCUGUCAACUGUUAACCUUUCAAAAUAGUUUUGUGUCACCGAAAUAUCUCAAAGCUAAAAGGUCAUGCGUUUACGGCUUUUCCCACCUCAAGUAAAAUGCAUUGACUAAGAUUUUUGAUUCUGAACAUUCAUGUUGAUUUGGUCAAUGACCAAACAUACAACAACGAAUGGAGGAGCAGUCAAAUUGAUUAAAGUUGUAAAAACAAGCAUAACACCUGAGAUGACCAAACAAUACAUAGCUUAUGAUAAAUGAAAUUGAGAUGGACUGACAUAAAGCAGAUAUUUAUGCCAAAGUUGGCCUGAAAUUUAUAACAUUUCUUUACUAUUUAAUAUGUGGGCAAACUCAUAUAAUUCUGGCUCUAAGAACAGCAAUGACAUCCUGAUGCUUAAGAAAAUGCACCAGCAACUCCUUCCUUUUAGGCUCCAUUUUAUCAGCAUUAUUUUCUUCAUCUUCAUUGUCAUCUGUCCCAUCAGAUGAUAAAUAAAGUGGAGGCAGUAACUCCCCUUUAUCUAGCAAAGCAAGGCUCUCUUUGUAAGUGCCAAAAUAAAAAGAGUACCUAGUGCCAAGAAUAUUGAGGUGCAGCUUUUCUUGUG